UUUAAUAAUCAUUUUCCAUGCUGGCAUGGGUUGGAUGGUUUGACAGGAGCUGGUAUGGUAAGGUGAGGGGCUGUAGCAGGCUCCAUUUUCUGUUCUGGCAGAGUUUCUAUGGCUGGAUGUCCUUCCUAAUGCCAACCAUUUUACAGAGUGUACUGGGUGUUUUUUAUGAGGCAUCAGCACCAGUGCUGUUAACAUGGCACCAGCACUAGUAUCAGUUCUGAUG
Octopus sinensis (East Asian common octopus) is the source of this 223-nucleotide long non-coding RNA. RefSeq lists it as uncharacterized. Lineage: Eukaryota; Metazoa; Mollusca; Cephalopoda; Octopoda; Octopodidae. The transcript is spliced from 4 exons. The record is from RefSeq and is a predicted model, not a curated record.